UUCAAGCUCCCUAGCUCAGUCGACAGAGCAUGAGACUCUUAAUCCCAGGGUUGUAGGUUUCAGCCCUGCGUUGGGUGAAA
This is a non-coding RNA of Podarcis lilfordi (Lilford's wall lizard), 80 nucleotides long. The record is from the annotation of a GenBank genome assembly. Lineage: Eukaryota; Metazoa; Chordata; Lepidosauria; Squamata; Lacertidae.